Molecule: unclassified non-coding RNA, 165 nt
Filed under: soil metagenome
Description: partial contains 5.8S ribosomal RNA, internal transcribed spacer 2, and large subunit ribosomal RNA
Source: RNAcentral
AACACUGUUAACCUGCGGUACCUGCGGAGGGAUCAUUAGUGAACGCCCUCGCGGGCUUAUAACUAUUCCAAACCUCUGUGAACCGUGCCCUUCGGGGCUAUUUUACAAACAUGGUGUAAUGAACGUCAUAUAUCAUAACAAAACAAAACUUUUAGCAAUGGAUCU